GAUGAACGCUGGCGGCGUGCCUAAUACAUGCAAGUCGAGCGAACGGACGAGAAGCUUGCUUCUCUGAUGUUAGCGGCGGACGGGUGAGUAACACGUGGAUAACCCACCUAUAAGACUGGGAUAACUUCGGGAAACCGUAGCUAAUACCGGAUAAUAUUUUGAACCGCAUGGUUCAAAAGUGAAAGACGGUCUUGCUGUCACUUAUAGAUGGAUCCGCGCUGCAUUAGCUAGUUGGUAAGGUAACGGCUUACCAAGGCAACGAUGCGUAGCCGACCUGAGAGGGUGAUCGGCCACACUGGAACUGAGACACGGUCCAGACUCCUACGGGAGGCAGCAGUAGGGAAUCUUCCGCAAUGGGCGAAAGCCUGACGGAGCAGCGCCGCGUGAGUGAUGAAGGUCUUCGGAUCGUAAAACUCUGUUAUUAGGGAAGAACAUAUGUGUAAGUAACUGUGCACAUCGUGACGGUACCUAAUCAGAAAGCCACGGCUAACUACGUG
Molecule: ribosomal RNA, 497 nt
Filed under: uncultured bacterium
Lineage: Bacteria
Description: partial 16S ribosomal RNA
Rfam family: Bacterial small subunit ribosomal RNA
Source: RNAcentral